Telopea speciosissima is the source of this 150-nucleotide long non-coding RNA. RefSeq lists it as uncharacterized. The record is from RefSeq and is a predicted model, not a curated record. The transcript has 4 exons. NCBI's taxonomy places the organism in Eukaryota, Viridiplantae, Streptophyta, Magnoliopsida, Proteales, Proteaceae.
GGGGAAAAAACUCGCGCUUCCUGUUGCAGCUAACAAUAGUAGAUGGAUCAAAAAGUUUGGCCACUGCCACUGCAACAUCCUUUCUGUCACACAUUCCUAUACUGGUUUCAAAUUUGCCUCAAUUCUUCUUUCUGAUUAUACAGAAACUUG